CAAGGUUAAGAACUGAAGGUUCGGAGCCGAAGCGAAAGCGAGUCUGAAUAGGGCGAUAGUUGCAUGACGUAGACCCGAAACCGGGUGACCUAUCCAUGAGCAGGUUGAAGUGGAGGUAAAGCUCCAUGGAGGACCGAACCAGACGUCUGUUGAAAAAGGCGGGGAUGACUUGUGGAUAGGGGAGAAAUUCCAAUCGAACCCGGAGAUAGCUGGUUCUCCUCGAAAUAGCUUUAGGGCUAGCCUCAUGGAUCAUUGGUGGGGGUAGAGCACUGAAUGUGCGCGGGGGCCACAAAGCCUACCAAACGCUAUCAAACUACGAAUACCAUACAAUGCAGACCAUGGGAGUCAGUCCGCGAGAGAUAAGUUCCGCGGGCAAAAGGGGAACACCCCAGAUCAACCGCUAAGGUCCCCAAGUUCACGUUAAGUGGAGAAGGAUGUGGAAUUGCACAGACAACCAGGAUGUUGGCUCAGAAGCAGCCACACAUUUAAAGAGUGCGUAAUAGCUCACUGGUCGAGUGAUUGUGCGCCGAAGAUGUCCGGGGCUAAACGUGACACCGAAGCGAUGGGUGCAUCUGAAGAAGAUGCGCGGUAGAGGAGCAAUGUGCAGAGGCAGAAGCCGUAUCGAGAGGCACGGUGGACACUGCACAAGAGAGAAUGCCGGUAUGAGUAGCGAGAGGCAUGCGAGAAACAUGCCCGUCGAAAGCCCAAGGUUUCCUGGGGAAGGUUCAUCCGCCCAGGGUAAGUCGGGGCCUAAGCCGAGGACGGAAGUCGUAGGCGAUGGACAGCAGGUGUAGAUUCCUGCACUACCGAUGGAAUGAAGCAGUGACACAGAAGGAUAACUCGAGCAGGGUGAUGGUCAACCCUGUGCAAGCAUCGAGGUUGGGUUGUAGUGAAGUACGCAACCCUAUAAGCUGAGGUGUGAUGCGGACCGAAAUUUCAGUAGGGAAGCGAGUGAGUUCACGCUGGCGAGAAAAGCUGCUAGUACAUCCAAAGGUACCCGUACCGGAAACCGACGCAGGUGGGCGAGGAGAGAAUCCUGAGACGAACGGGAGAACCCUUGUUAAGGAACUCGGCAAAAUGACCCCGUAACUUCGGGAUAAGGGGUGCCUGCGAGAGCAGGCCGCAGAGAAUAGUCACAAGCGACUGUUUAGCAAAAACACAGGUAUCUGCGAAAGCGAGAGCUGACGUAUAGGUGCUGACACCUGCCCGGUGCUGGAAGGUUAAGGGAACAUGUUAGAGCAAUCGAAGCAUCGAACCGAAGCCCCAGUAAACGGCGGCCGUAACUAUAACGGUCCUAAGGUAGCGAAAUUCCUUGUCGGGUAAGUUCCGACCCGCACGAAUGGUGUAACGACUUGUGAGCUGUCUCAACAGGGGGCCCGGUGAAAUUGAAGUAUGGGUGAAGAUGCCCAUUACCCGCGACUGGACGGAGAGACCCCGUAGAGCUUUACUGCAGCCUGAUAUUGAGUUUCGGUAACUGAUGCACAGGAUAGGUGGGAGUCUGAGAGACAUGGGUUUCGGCUCGUGUGGAGACGCUGUUGGGAUACCACUCUUCGGUUACUGAAAUUCUAACAUAGCUCUGUGAAACCAGAGGAUGGACAGUGUCAGGUGGACAGUUUGACUGGGGCGGUCGCCUCCGAAAGAGUAACGGAGGCGCCCAAAGGUACCCUCAGAAUGGAUGGAAACCAUUCGAAGAGCGCAAAGGCAGAAGGGUGCCUGACUGCGAGAGUGACAACUCGAGCAGAGACGAAAGUCGGGCUUAGUGAUCCGGCGGUAUUGAGUGGAAAAGCCGUCGCUUAACGGAUAAAAGCUACCUCGGGGAUAACAGGCUGAUCUCCC
RNAcentral lists this ribosomal RNA (1836 nucleotides) under human gut metagenome. RNAcentral describes it as "bacterial LSU rRNA". It matches the Rfam family "Bacterial large subunit ribosomal RNA", at positions 641 to 2491 of the family's 2925-position model. The record is from RNAcentral.